GGCGGGCUGGCGUAAUGGCAACGCGUUAGUUUCCGGAGCUAAAGAUUCUGGGUUCGAGCCCCAGGCUCGUCG
This is a non-coding RNA of Fomitopsis serialis, 72 nucleotides long. NCBI's taxonomy places the organism in Eukaryota, Fungi, Basidiomycota, Agaricomycetes, Polyporales, Fomitopsidaceae. The record is from the annotation of a RefSeq genome assembly.